GUUUCUUCAGGCUCCUCGCACUUCUCACUGGGUUUCGUCCUCGGGUUUGUCGGAUUUUUUUUCGGUUUCGGGUUAUCCCGAACCCGAUUCUUCCCAAUCGGGUUCGGGUUCGCAUAUUAAAUAUCCACCCGUAAAACUCGAUCGGGUACCCGAUUGAGAGAAGGGGAAAAAGGGGUACGGGUUAUAUCCAAGCCAGAAAACCCUUGCUGCUGCUCUCCUGCUCCCGUUUCUUUCCUUACUACUGUCUACUGCCAUUGUUGCUGCCGUUGCUACUGUUGUCGCCGACCAGACAUCGCGCCGGCAACCAGUCGCUGCGGCCGCGCCACCCACCGGACUCCGACGACGACGAGCUCUCCUUCAUCGCCGACAAAAGUCGCUAUUUUUGCGAAUUUUCAGCAUUGUGCCUGAGUUGACAAAGUUAGGGGUUGAUUCAACAAUUAUUGACAUUUAAUUGUGCUAACUGCUACUUGUAAAUUUUUGACAAGGUCGAGGACUCGAGGUCGAGGAAGAAAAUGUGAUAUGAGCUUUUUCAGUCUAUAGGCAUUAGGAUUUCGGAGGCCUUCUGAUAAUUUAUGGAUGUGAUUGAACUUUUUUUUUUGGAUAUUUAUGUAAAGCUUUAAGUAUUUAUGUCCAUAAAUUAUAUUUUAGACUUACAUGGAUAUAUUUUAGUGAAUUACUUUCAUU
This is a long non-coding RNA of Sesamum indicum (sesame), 684 nucleotides long. RefSeq lists it as uncharacterized. Lineage: Eukaryota; Viridiplantae; Streptophyta; Magnoliopsida; Lamiales; Pedaliaceae. The record is from RefSeq and is a predicted model, not a curated record.